This 275-nucleotide ribosomal RNA is filed under the name uncultured prokaryote. RNAcentral describes it as "partial 16S ribosomal RNA". It matches the Rfam family "Bacterial small subunit ribosomal RNA", at positions 524 to 798 of the family's 1533-position model. The record is from RNAcentral.
UACGUAUGGGGCGAGCGUUGUUCGGAAUUAUUGGGUGUAAAGGGCGUCUAGGCGGGAGAUUAAGUUAGAUGUGAAAGGCGUGGGCUUAACCCACGAAUUGCAUCUAAAACUGGUUUUCUUGAGUUCGGGAGAGGAGAGCGGAAUUCUUGGUGUAGCGGUGAAAUGCGUAGAUAUCAAGAAGAACACCAGUGGCGAAGGCGGCUCUCUAGCCUAGAACUGACGCUGAAGCGCGAAAGCGUGGGGAGCAAACAGGAUUAGAUACCCGCGUAGUCCCU